UGGGGAAUAUUGCACAAUGGGCGCAAGCCUGAUGCAGCCAUGCCGCGUGUAUGAAGAAGGCCUUCGGGUUGUAAAGUACUUUCAGUCGGGAGGAAGGUGGUAAGGUUAAUAACCUUGGCAAUUGACGUUACCGACAGAAGAAGCACCGGCUAACUCCGUGCUAGCAGCCGCGGUAAUACGGAGGGUGCAAGCGUUAAUCGGAAUUACUGGGCGUAAAGCGCACGCAGGCGGUUGAUUGAGUCAGAUGUGAAAUCCCCGGGCUUAACCCGGGACUUGCAUCUGAUACUGGUCAGCUAGAGUCUUGUAGAGGGGGGUAGACUUCCAUGUGUAGCGGUGAAAUGCGUAGAGAUGUGGAGGAAUACCGGUGGCGAAGGCGGCCCCCUGGACAAAGACUGACGCUCAGGUGCGAAAGCGUGGGGAGCAAACAGG
This 429-nucleotide ribosomal RNA is filed under the name Chloroflexota bacterium. Its description in RNAcentral is "Chloroflexi bacterium partial 16S ribosomal RNA". It matches the Rfam family "Bacterial small subunit ribosomal RNA", at positions 355 to 776 of the family's 1533-position model. The record is from RNAcentral. Lineage: Bacteria; Bacillati; Chloroflexota.